AGAGCGAACGCUGGCGGCAGGCCUAACACAUGCAAGUCGAGCGCCCCGCAAGGGGAGCGGCAGACGGGAGAGUAACACGUGGGAACGUACCCUUCAGUUCGGAACAACCCAGGGAAACUUGGGCUAAUACCGAAUACGUCCGUAAGGAGAAAGAUUUAUCGCCGGAGGAUUGGCCCGCGUUCGAUUAGCUUGUUGGUGAGGUAACGGCUCACCAAGGCGAUGAUCGAUAGCUGGUCUGAGAGGAUGAUCAGCCACAUUGGGACUGAGACACGGCCCAAACUCCUACGGGAGGCAGCAGUGGGGAAUAUUGGACAAUGGGCGCAAGCCUGAUCCAGCCAUGCCGCGUGAGUGAUGACGGCCUUAGGGUGUAAAGCUCUUCGCUCGGGACGAUAAUGACGGUACCGAGAUAAGAAGCCCGGCUAACUUCGCGCCAGCAGCCGC
Molecule: ribosomal RNA, 441 nt
Filed under: uncultured bacterium
Lineage: Bacteria
Description: SSU rRNA
Rfam family: Bacterial small subunit ribosomal RNA
Source: RNAcentral